This 403-nucleotide ribosomal RNA is filed under the name Pedinellales sp. RNAcentral's name for it is "partial small subunit ribosomal RNA". It matches the Rfam family "Eukaryotic small subunit ribosomal RNA", at positions 582 to 975 of the family's 1831-position model. Lineage: Eukaryota; Dictyochophyceae; Pedinellales. The record is from RNAcentral.
AUUCCAGCUCCAAUAGCGUAUAUUAAUGUUGUUGCAGUUAAAAAGCUCGUAGUUGGAUUUCUGGUCUAAGCGCCUGGCCGGCUCCGCAAGGGGUCGUGCAUGGGUGGUACCUUGGUCCAUCCUCAGGGGAACUGCCACUGGUAUUCAUUUAUCGGUGUUGGGACGCCUGUCGUUUACUGUGAACAAAUUAGAGUGUUCAAAGCAAGGUGUACUUGAAUACAUUAGCAUGGAAUAAUAAGAUAGGACUUUGGUGGUUCUUUCGAGAUAUUUUGUUGGUUUGCACGCCAAAGUAAUGAUUAAUAGGAGCAGUUGGGGGUAUUCGUAUUCAAUUGUCAGAGGUGAAAUUCUUGGAUUUAUAGAAGACGAACUACUGCGAAAGCAUUUACCAAGGAUGUUUUCAUCG